Molecule: non-coding RNA, 96 nt
Filed under: Clostridium sp.
Lineage: Bacteria; Bacillati; Bacillota; Clostridia; Eubacteriales; Clostridiaceae
Description: Guanine sequence
Rfam family: Purine riboswitch aptamer
About the family: Riboswitches are metabolite binding domains within certain messenger RNAs that serve as precision sensors for their corresponding targets. Allosteric rearrangement of mRNA structure is mediated by ligand binding, and this results in modulation of gene expression.
Source: RNAcentral
UAUAUAAUUAAAAACAUAACUUAUAUAAGUUCAUAAUUGGUUGAACGUUUCUACCAACUACCAUAAUAGUUGAUUGUAAGUUAAUUCUAUUAAAAG